Molecule: long non-coding RNA, 8005 nt
Filed under: Mytilus galloprovincialis (Mediterranean mussel)
Lineage: Eukaryota; Metazoa; Mollusca; Bivalvia; Mytilida; Mytilidae
Source: RNAcentral
GUAAAAAAUUUAUUAAGUUUUCAACAAAAUUACAUGAUUUAGAUCUACAAAUUCAGAUAUCUAAGUAACAAACUAAACAUUUAAAACAAAACUUAAGCCUGAGAACUUGCAUUGCAUAAUGAUUAGUAAAAAAAAUGCCAACAAAUAAACAAAAAGCUGUUACCAUGGUUAUAGAUUAAAGAUGACAACCAGAUAAUGAAAUAUACUGGCAAAAUGCAAAUAACUUUUUUUUAACAAUAUACAAUAUUAUACUUACAAUCCAUUUCAUGCUUAAUAUAAUAUAUUUUGUACUUGUACAAACUUAAAAGGGGAAAUAUAUAACUAAAUAUUAAUUAUUAUAAAUAGUAUUACAUGUUUUAACUUGAUGGGGCUUGCCAACUGAUACUGUUUAUCAUCAAAAAUUAUAAUGUAAGCGUCUCACUUCAUGCAUGAAUGAUUACAGCUUAUGUGAUUUGAUUGGAAAAUAACUACAUGGAAAAUGAUUUGGUGGCAUAGUGCAGCAUUGUCAAAAAAUAAUGGUGAACUGUAAAUUCAUUGAUUAAUGAGAAAAUGGGACAGUCUUAGGUUCUCCAUAAUAAUUUCAGUAGUGAUUUUCCUUGAUACAUGUAAAAUGUUUGCUUUCACAUUACACAUAUUUCACAUUUUUGUGUUUGUCAAGAAUUCACAUGGGUACCACCUUAAUGCUAGUUUAUGAUUUUACAGUAUAUAACUAUAUCUUACAACAGAAAAUGUAGACAAAAUAUUUUCCAUAUGAGUUUCAUCAAAAUUGAAACUUUUCAAUAACAAAUUAGUUUUGUACUAAUAAAAUUGAGAAUGGAAAUUGGGAAUAUGUCAGAGACAACAACCCGACCAUAGAAAAAACAAGACUAGUUAGAUUUGGGACCAUCACAGAAUAGACCACUCUGAUACUUGUGUCUGUUCUGGUUUUCUCCCUCCUUUUUUUUUUUUUUGAAAUUUUCACUUGUACCUGUAUAGAGAAUUACACAUUUUUCUCUACUUUUAAAUUUAUAUAUAGAAGUUAAAUAUGUGCAAGACAAAAUCUCAAAAAAGAAAAUUCACACUCAAUCUUGUGGAAUAAUUCUCUUUAUCAUGUAUGAAAGUUGCAUUUAUUUAUCAGGUAUUACGAUCAACUGCUGCAGAUUCACAAAUAUAAAUACACAGCUUAACACAACAGGGAGAUAACUCUAUAAAAUUUACCAGAAUUAGUUUUAAAUGUGGAAAGCAGUUGAAGUUGGAUGAAAACUUCAAUCAAUUAUAAUGGUUAAAAGUUGGCCAAUGAAAAUUCUGGUCAUUAAUUCAAAGUAUAGAUUUAAAGCAAAACUUUGAAGUUUGAUGUCUAUAACAGGAAGUUUAAUGACCGUGUGAGAAGACACAGGGUUGGGAGAGAAGUAAUGAGAGUGGUGUUGGGGAAACCUUUACUCUAACAAUAGACUAUGGUGAUCCCUUUGGGUUUUAUGAAAAAAAAAGAGAUUUUAACCUCAUAAACAACCUUGAUGAAUAUAAUAAUGGCACGUAAUAUAUCUAAACUAGGUUUUAUAUCAAAUUAUAUAUCUGACCAAUCUCUGGGAUUUUGUGAACACAUUGAUGUAUUUCUAGCUUUGCCAAGAAAAACACUUAUUUUUUAUGAAAAAUUUCUUCAACAAAAAUACAUAUCUUCAAAAAGUGAAUUUAGCAUGAAAAUAAUGAAUGAAAAAUGACUUUGUAGUUGAGACACAUUAAUAGGAAGGCUAUAAAAUACAUUGUGGCAAUUCACUGGCAAAAUUAAGUUAUGUCAAUUCAGCCAACCAUUUUUAAUUAAUUUAUUCUAACCCAGGGACCUUGUUGCAUAUUUUUCGUAAAAUAUAUGCAAUAAAAUUAAAACAUACAUAUGAAUAAAUCUUUGCAUGGAAAAAUAAUAAAGCAUUGCAUUGGUAUUACAUAUAUAUAUAUAUAUAGUUAAUUAAAUUGAAAUCACAGAUAAAGCAAGUUCAUAAAACAAUCCUAGUCACAAAUACUGUGGACUCUUGUUAAUAGAUCGAUUUCCAUUGACAAAAUUUGAGCAAGAUGUAACUUCCCUUUAGUAACCAAUUUGGAGCUCUAUAUAUACAAUUUCAUUUUUACACAAAAUUUAACUUGAUAUCUUGACAGCUAGAUAUUAGAAAAAGUUGCUUGUUUUCUGACAAAUUUGAAUUUCCUGAAGCUUUGUUUGUUUUUCACUACGAUCUAGUAAGGAUCUCUUAUCAGACCAGGCUGUAUAACAUGUUUCAUUUGGUUAGUCAAAUAAAAGUCAACUAUUAAAAUGGGGGCCAUGGGAAUUAACUCACUCAAAUUAUGUCAUAUUGAAACCUUUCUAUACCCUAACUCCAUCCUCAUUCAAAAGUAGUGCAUCAAUUAAGAUAAGUUUCCUUGGCCCAUCAGUAUGGUUACUUAUAAUUAUAACUAGAUAUUAUAAAGCAAUUAGUUUCUAACUAUUGUACAUGUGUAUUACUGUGUAAUGCAUAGACUAUAUGGACAAUAUAUAACAUAUUAUUUUCUUUAUACAUUAUUCUUGAUAACACAGUCAUUAUAUUGCAAGUAAAACCCCAUUUAUCAUACAUGAGGUAUUGCAUUUUAUUUAUUAAUAUAAUUUCAGUAUCUAUACAUACAAAUGUUGUGAUUUAAUUUGUUAUUUAAUCUAAAAACUUUUGAUAUACACAUCAGAUUAUAAUAAAAGGUACAUUGAAAUAAUAAAUUUGUCUGCUAUAAAUAAGGCUGAAUAAGCAAUAUUAUAUUGAUUUCUUUUAAAUUCACAAAUUAUUGUGUAAGCAACACAUUUAUUUUUUUUUUUUUUUUUUUUAAUUCUAGGUUCUUGUUUUGAAAAUUAUUCAUUUAUUUGAUCAUUUUACAUUUAAUUAAAAUGGUGAUAAACUUCAUUUAAUAAAUUUUAAAAAUAAAAUUCAAAUUGGCAUUGAUUCAAUACAUUUCGGAUUGAGCUUAAUUUCUAGACAUGGCAUGUAAAUACAUAAUUUUGUUGUUACAUAAAUGAGACAGAAUCCCUAAACAAAACAAUAAAUUCCCCAAAAAAUAUAAACAGACAAGUGCUUGGUAAUAUUACAUUUUUUAUAAAUCAUUUUAACCAAUUAGAAUCAGUAUACCCUGUUUCUAAACUCAUGAUCAGUCCCUUUUGACUUUGAAUAGCAAAAAAAAAACAUUUAAAAAAAAAUAUAUAAAUGAAAGUGUGUUUUAAUCUUCCAAAAAUUAACUAAUGCUUAGAAUUGCAAUUCAAUAGAUUUUGAAAACAAUAUUAGAAGCCAUUUUUUUGUCUGUGUGCAUUACUAAAUGCUGCAAAAACUUUUGAUUAGGCCAUACAAAAUAAUUCUUAAAUUCACAUCAACUUUCAUAAAAAAUUUGCAAACAGGUAAAAUGUCAUUAUAUUUUCCUGGUAUAAUCAAUUUCCCACUUGAAAAAUACAUAUUUCUUUUACUUUCUAAACAAAUCACUGCAAAAAAUAAAUACAGUGAAAAUCAGAGAUGUGAAUCUAGGAAAUUAUUUUCUCUGGCUUCAAAGAAUUCACCUUCAUUUACACAGGACUAGUAGAUUACAAUACUUAUUUUUUAGACUUAAAAAAUCAACUAAAUCCCCUAAUGCAGUUACUCUAGGAAGCCUGAGGAGUGAGGGGAAUAUGAGGUAGAAAAUGCAAGCAAAUAAUAGAGGCUAAUAAAACAUACUCUUUUUUCAAAAGGAGGUCGGUCAGGUCAUAAAAAAGAUAACAUUUGUUUGCCAUAAACCUACCUAACCUACCAGAAAAUAUUUACCUACUCAAAAUCUUUUCUUGUCUGGAUGUUAAAAAGUUGGGGUUGUUUUUAAUCAGUUGGCAUGAACACUAAAAACAGCUGACAGUUCAAUUUCUUCUUGCCGAAAAAUCCCAAGAAAAUGCCUACCUACCUACCCACAGUCUAAAUCUUUAGGUAGGGUUUGGGCCAACCAAAAUAUUUUAAGUGUGGCUUCAUAUGAGGAAACCAGGAAGAAAAGCAAAUUCUAUUAGGUCAUUUUAUUCCCCCCCCCCUUGAAAUUACUAGCAGUUACUAUUAUCUUUUGCUUGCCAAACUUUUGGCACUGACUUUCUUGCAAAUGAAAUGUUACAUGAAUAUUCAUGAACGGAAAAAAAAACAGUGAUGACAGUUAUACUAUUUUCAUGCAAAAUGUAUUAAAACUACAAAUUUGCUUUCAGCAUAAACAGAUCAACAUCAAAAUACAUGUAUUCAAAAAUGGAAAAAAAAUUAAAAAUAUAACAGACAUUUAGCUUUCUGUAUGGAGCCUUUCCAAAACAAUGCAUUUGAUCACAAAUACUGUAAAUUCAGAAAUUAUUGCGAAAAAUGUGACAGGGUUAUAAUCGCAAUAAUUUAAACACACAUUUUGAAAUAUGUUAUAUGAAUAACACAGGAUUUUUCUCAAUAUCACAAAAUUUAGUCUUAAAUGACAAAAUCGCAACAAUAAAUGCAUUCAAUUAUUUCUGAAUUUACAAUACAUUUGAAAACGGAAAAAAUAAAAAAUAUUACAGACAUGUAGAAUUCUGUAUGGAACAUUUCCAAAACGAUGCACAUGAUCAUAAAUAUUUCACAUCAGAAGAUCUACACUUAAGUUUACCUAGACUACCAUUAAUUUACUGUUGUAAAAUGGUGCAACUAAGAUGUAGAUUUUUGUAUUCAAGUUCAUCAUUAAUUAAGCUGCAAAACUAUCUGAGGCCAAGAAUUUUUCAUGUUUUAAAGCAGACCUUAAACCUAUUUUGACGUUAAUCAUUUAGCCAUACAUGAAUAAUAACAUUGGAACAUUAAGAAGCUGUGAAAUUUUAUAUGCAUAAUAAUUUUCACACACUUAAUCAAACUUAAGAUGUUUUUGAGGUAAUUUAAAUGAUGCCAAUACUAUAUGAAUUUGUAAUUUUUACCUGUUUGGAAAAUUGUAUAUUUCUUAACAAUUUUUUAUUUCAUUUGUUCAUAUAUGUGUGUUUUUUUAAUAUUUUGUAAUUGUUUGUUAUGUUUCAUUGUAUUUUAUGAGGGCCUCAGAUAAGAUUAGUUUUAUAGCUAACAGUGAAACCCAUUUUAAAUAAAGAAUUAUAAUUAUUAUUAUUAUUUUAAAUCUGUCAGGUACUGUAUGCAAUAUUUUAAUCAGUUUCGAUACAGCUUUAUCUCACUUCCAGUGGCCAACUUUUUUUCACAUUAAUCUCACUUGUAUUAAAGAAUUUAAAAAUUCAAAUUACUUCACUGGAUGAAAAUCUAUUUCAAGGAUUAACUGCUCUUUCAGACUCUUUUAUCAUCUAUUAAUUAAUAAGACUGCUACUCUAGAGUUGUAAAUGUUCUGAGGGUGUAUGUGUGCAAACAGAAAGCAAAUUACUACACUAGAUGAAAAUCCAUUUCGAGGUUUGACAGCUCUUUCAAGAUUUUUAUUAAUGCAAUCCUCUUUGAAUUUAUGUAUUUGGGAACAUGUCCUACAAUAAAAUUAUCUCACUUGACGAAAAUCUCUUUAAAGAUUUGAAUGCUCUUACAGACUUUUUUAUUUUUCUUUUGACGGCUCUUUCAGACUUUUUUAAUUAUUAUAGUAGUCCUCUUUAAUUUGUAUUUAUGUAUUUGGGAACUUGUCGAAAAAGUAAAAUUAUUUCACUUGAUGAAAACCUCUUCAAAGGAUUGACUGCUCUUUCAGACCUUUUUAAUUAUUUAUUAGUAAGACAGCUAUGCAAAUAUAUUUCGAGGUUUGACAGCUCUUACAAACAUUUUUAUUUGUGCAAUCGUCUUUGUAUUUAUGUAUCUGGGAACUAGUUCUUAAGUAAAAUUAUUUCACUUGACGAAAACCUCUUCAAAGGUUUGAAUGCUCUUAGACGUUUUUAUCAUCUAUUAAUUAAUAAUUAAUUAAUUAUUUUUAUUUUGCUAUUCAAGAAUUUUAAAUGUAUUUGAGGACUUGUACAGCAAUCAAAUUACAACACUGGAUGAAAAUCUAUUUCGAGGAUUAACGGCUCUUACAAACAAAAUUACUUCACUUGAUGAAAAUGUCUUUAAAGGAUUGACUGCUCUUUCAGACUUUUUUAAUUAUUUAUUAGUAAGACUGCUAUUCAAGAGUUUCAAAUUUUCUGAGGGUGUAUGUGUGCAAACAGAAAUCAAUUAUUACAUUAGAUGCAAAUAUAUUUCGAGGUUUGACAACUCUUACAAACAUUUUUAUUAGUGCAAUCGUCUUUGUAUUUAUGUAUCUGGGAACUUGUUCUUAAAAUGAUCUUAGACAUUUUUAAUUUUUAUUUUGACAGCUAUUUAAGAAUUUUAAAUGUAUCUGAGGACUUGUACAGCAAUCAAAUUACAACACUGGAUGAAAAUCUAUUUCGAGGAUUAACGGCUCUAACAAACAAAAUUACUUCACUUGACGAGAAUGUUUUUAAAGGAUUGACUGCUCUUUCAGACUUUUUUAAUUAUUUAUUACAUGUAUUAGUAAGACAGCUAUUCAAGAGUUUCAAAUUUUCUGUGGGUGUAUGUGUGCAAACAGAAAUCAAAUAAUUACAUUAGAUGCAAAUCUAUUUCGAGGUUUAACUGCUCUUAAAAACCUUUUUAUUAGUGCACUCUCAUUGUAUUUCAUGAACUUGUUCUACAUAAAAUUAUUUCACUUGACGAAAACCUCUUUAAAGGUUUGAAUGCUCUUAAGACAUUUUUAAUUUUUAUUUUGACUGCUAUUCAAGAAUUUUAAAUGUAUCUGAGGAAUUGUACAGCAAACAAAUUACAACACUGGAUGAAAAUGUAUUUCGAGAUUUGACGGCUCUAACAAAUAAAAUUACUUCACUUGACGAAAAUGUCUUUAAAGGAUUGACUGCUCUUUCAGACUUUUUUAAAUAUUUAUUACAUGUAUUAGUAAGACUGCUAUUCAAGAGUUUCAAAUUUUCUGAGGGUGUAUGUGUGCAAACAGAAAUCAAAUUAUUACAUUAGAUGCAAAUCUAUUUCAAGGUUUGACAGCUCUUACAAACAUUUUUAUUAGUGCACUCUCAUUGUUUUUAUGUAUUCAGAAACUUGUCGUAAAAUUACUUCACUUGACAUAAAUCUCUUUAAAGAUUGGCUGCUCUUAAAGACUAUUACAUUUCCUUUUGACUGCAAUUUAAGGAUUUUAAAUGAACUUGAGGACCUGCACAACAAUCAAAUAACCAACGCUAGAUGCAAAUAUAUUUCAAGGUUUGAAGAAUCUUGGAAAAGAGAAUGGAAACUUGUCCAGAAAUCAAUGACAAUGCUAGAUAGAUGACAACGCCUUUAACGGAUUGACGGCUCUUACACACUUUUUGUAGGAACAUGCCUAGAAAUCAAAUGACAAUGCUAGAUUGAUGUCAACUCAUUUAAAGGAUUGACGGCUCUUACACACUUUUUGUAGGCACUUGCCCAGAAAUCAAAUGACAAUGCUAGAUUGAUGCUAACUCAUUUGACGGAUUGACGGCACUUAAACACUUUUGGUAGGCUUUUGUCUAGAAAUCAAAUUAUUGGACUUGAUUCAGACUUGAUCAACAAUCAAAUUACAACAAUAGAUGCAAAUCCAUUUCAAGGUUUGAGGGAUGUUUGAGAAUGGAAAUGGGGAAUAAAGACAGUAAUGCAACCAAAGAGCAGAAAACAGCUCUAGGCCAAUAUUGGUUGUUCAAGAUAGGGAGAAAGUAGACAUACUUUUUAAUUAUAUAUUUGACUGCUAGUAAACAUUUUUUUAAAUUUCUGUGUGUAUGUUUGUGCUUUGGUUUUUUUUUUAAUGCAUAUAAAUAAUUUAUGAAUUAUACAGGAAUAAAUAUUACUUUUGGGGCCAACACAAUAAGUUAUUAGUGUAUGCAAUUUGUAAGUCAGUUUUCACAUAGCUCUUUCUCAAUUCACAUAUACAACUCUUUUCAAGAAGAAUCACUCUCUAUGUAUGUAUUUGAGAACUGGUACCAUUAUCAAUUCCUUACGUUUGAUGUGAAUUCAUUUCUAGGUUAAAAGGCUUUAACAAAUUGAUUCAUUUUUCAUUUCACUACUUUUCACCAGUUUCAAAUUAUCUAAGUAUAUAU